Molecule: ribosomal RNA, 562 nt
Filed under: uncultured bacterium
Lineage: Bacteria
Description: bacterial SSU rRNA
Rfam family: Bacterial small subunit ribosomal RNA
Source: RNAcentral
UCCUACGGGAGGCAGCAGUGGGGAAUCUUAGACAAUGGGGGCAACCCUGAUCUAGCCAUGCCGCGUGAGUGAUGAAGGCCUUAGGGUCGUAAAGCUCUUUCGCCUGUGAUGAUAAUGACAGUAGCAGGUAAAGAAACCCCGGCUAACUCCGUGCCAGCAGCCGCGGUAAUACGGAGGGGGUUAGCGUUGUUCGGAAUUACUGGGCGUAAAGCGCGCGUAGGCGGAUUAGAAAGUUGGGGGUGAAAUCCCGGGGCUCAACCCCGGAACUGCCUCCAAAACUGCUAGUCUAGAGUUCGAGAGAGGUGAGUGGAAUUCCGAGUGUAGAGGUGAAAUUCGUAGAUAUUCGGAGGAACACCAGUGGCGAAGGCGGCUCACUGGCUCGAUACUGACGCUGAGGUGCGAAAGUGUGGGGAGCAAACAGGAUUAGAUACCCUGGUAGUCCACACCGUAAACGAUGAAUGCCAGUCGUCGGGUAGUAUACUAUUCGGUGACACACCUAACGGAUUAAGCAUUCCGCCUGGGGAGUACGGUCGCAAGAUUAAAACUCAAAUGAAUUGACGGA